AUUGAACGCUGGUGGCAUGCUUUACACAUGCAAGUCGAACGGUAACAGGGUGCUUGCACCGCUGACGAGUGGCGAACGGGUGAGUAAUGCGUCGGAACGUGCCGAGUAGUGGGGGAUAACGCAUCGAAAGGUGUGCUAAUACCGCAUACGUACUGAGGUAGAAAGUGGGGGACCUGCGGGCCUCACGCUAUUCGAGCGGCCGACGUCUGAUUAGCUAGUUGGUGAGGUAAAGGCUCACCAAGGCGACGAUCAGUAGCGGGUCUGAGAGGAUGAUCCGCCACACUGGGACUGAGACACGGCCCAGACUCCUACGGGAGGCAGCAGUGGGGAAUUUUGGACAAUGGGCGCAAGCCUGAUCCAGCCAUGCCGCGUGUCUGAAGAAGGCCUUCGGGUUGUAAAGGACUUUUGUCCGGGAGCAAUUACCCAGUGCUAAUAACGCUGGGGGCUGAGAGUACCGGAAGAAUAAGCACCGGCUAACUACGUGCCAGCCGCCGCAGUAA
Molecule: ribosomal RNA, 500 nt
Filed under: uncultured bacterium
Lineage: Bacteria
Description: partial 16S ribosomal RNA
Rfam family: Bacterial small subunit ribosomal RNA
Source: RNAcentral